UACGUAGGGUGCGAGCGUUGUCCGGAAUUAUUGGGCGUAAAGGGCUCGUAGGCGGUUUGUCGCGUCGGGAGUGAAAUCCACUGGCUUAACUGGUGGCUUGCUUUCGAUACGGGCAGACUGGAGGUAUGCAGGGGAGAACGGAAUUCCUGGUGUAGCGGUGAAAUGCGCAGAUAUCAGGAGGAACACCGAUGGCAAGGAGGUC
RNAcentral lists this ribosomal RNA (202 nucleotides) under uncultured bacterium. RNAcentral describes it as "partial 16S ribosomal RNA". It matches the Rfam family "Bacterial small subunit ribosomal RNA", at positions 524 to 727 of the family's 1533-position model. The record is from RNAcentral.